CCCUUGAUAGCUCAGUUGGCAGAGCGGAGGACUGUAGAUGUAAAAUGGUAAUGCUUAGGUCGCUGGUUCAAAUCCGGCUCGAUGGA
RNAcentral lists this transfer RNA (86 nucleotides) under Cordylochernes scorpioides. RNAcentral's name for it is "tRNA-Tyr". It matches the Rfam family "tRNA". From Rfam's summary of the family: Transfer RNA (tRNA) molecules are approximately 80 nucleotides in length. The record is from RNAcentral. Lineage: Eukaryota; Metazoa; Arthropoda; Arachnida; Pseudoscorpiones; Chernetidae.